GCGGAGUUGGCGGAAUUGGCAUACGCGCCAGUCUUAGAAACUGGAUCCUGAGAGUUCGAGUCUCUCACUCCGCACCA
RNAcentral lists this transfer RNA (77 nucleotides) under Rhodocyclaceae bacterium. RNAcentral describes it as "tRNA-Leu". It matches the Rfam family "tRNA". From Rfam's summary of the family: Transfer RNA (tRNA) molecules are approximately 80 nucleotides in length. Their secondary structure includes four short double-helical elements and three loops (D, anti-codon, and T loops). The record is from RNAcentral. Lineage: Bacteria; Pseudomonadati; Pseudomonadota; Betaproteobacteria; Rhodocyclales; Rhodocyclaceae.